RNAcentral lists this ribosomal RNA (451 nucleotides) under uncultured bacterium. Its description in RNAcentral is "partial 16S ribosomal RNA". It matches the Rfam family "Bacterial small subunit ribosomal RNA", at positions 29 to 523 of the family's 1533-position model. The record is from RNAcentral.
AACGAACGCUGGCGGCAGGCUUAACACAUGCAAGUCGAACGGGUGUAGCAAUACAUCAGUGGCAGACGGGUGAGUAACACGUGGGAACCUUCCUAGGGGUACGGAACAACCCAGGGAAACUUGAGCUAAUACCGUAUACGUCCGUGAGGAGAAAGAUUUAUCGCCCUUAGACGGGCCCGCGUCGGAUUAGCUAGUUGGUGGGGUAACGGCCUACUAAGGCGACGAUCCGUAGCUGAUCUUAGAGGAUGAUCAGCCACACUGGGACUGAGACACGGCCCCGACUCCGACGGGAGGGAGCAGUGGGGAAUCUGGGACAAGGGGCGCAAGCGUGAUCCAGCCAUGCCGCGUGGGUGAAGAAGGUCUUCGGAUUGUAAUGCUCUUUUGCCAGGGACGAUAAUGACGGUACCUGGAGAAUAAGCCCCGGCAAACUUCGUGCCAGCCGCCGCCGUAA